UUCGACGCAACGCGAAGAACCUUACCAGGCUUGACAUCCCCUGACCGCGUAUGAAAGUACGUUUUCGACCCUCGGGUGACAGGGAGACAGGUGGUGCAUGGUUGUCGUCAGCUCGUGUCGUGAGAUGUUGGGUUAAGUCCCGCAACGAGCGCAACCCCUACGUUUAGUUGCUAACGCGUGAAGGCGAGCACUCUAGACGAACUGCCGUUGACAAAACGGAGGAAGGUGGGGAUGACGUCAAAUCAUCAUGCCCCUUAUGUUCUGGGCUACACACGUGCUACAAUGGCCGGUACAGACGGACGCAAAGCCGCGAGGUGGAGCAAAUCCUAAAAAGCCGGUCUCAGUUCGGAUUGCAGGCUGCAAUUCGCCUGCAUGAAGUCGGAAUCGCUAGUAAUCGCAGGUCAGCAUACUGCGGUGAAUACGUUCCCGGGCCUU
RNAcentral lists this ribosomal RNA (435 nucleotides) under uncultured Pelotomaculum sp. RNAcentral describes it as "bacterial SSU rRNA". It matches the Rfam family "Bacterial small subunit ribosomal RNA", at positions 950 to 1382 of the family's 1533-position model. The record is from RNAcentral. Lineage: Bacteria; Bacillati; Bacillota; Clostridia; Eubacteriales; Desulfotomaculaceae.